This 601-nucleotide ribosomal RNA is filed under the name Colletotrichum boninense. RNAcentral describes it as "LSU rRNA". It matches the Rfam family "Eukaryotic large subunit ribosomal RNA", at positions 1 to 611 of the family's 3401-position model. The record is from RNAcentral. Lineage: Eukaryota; Fungi; Ascomycota; Sordariomycetes; Glomerellales; Glomerellaceae.
GUUGACCUCGGAUCAGGUAGGAAUACCCGCUGAACUUAAGCAUAUCAAUAAGCGGAGGAAAAGAAACCAACAGGGAUUGCCCCAGUAACGGCGAGUGAAGCGGCAACAGCUCAAAUUUGAAAUCUGGCCCCAGGCCCGAGUUGUAAUUUGCAGAGGAUGCUUUUGGCGCGGUGCCUUCCGAGUUCCCUGGAACGGGACGCCAUAGAGGGUGAGAGCCCCGUACGGUUGGACACCAAGUCUUUGUAAAGCUCCUUCGACGAGUCGAGUAGUUUGGGAAUGCUGCUCAAAAUGGGAGGUAUAUUUCUUCUAAAGCUAAAUAUUGGCCAGAGACCGAUAGCGCACAAGUAGAGUGAUCGAAAGAUGAAAAGCACUUUGAAAAGAGGGUUAAACAGCACGUGAAAUUGUUAAAAGGGAAGCGCUUAUGACCAGACUUGCGCCCGGUGAAUCACCCAGCUCUCGCGGCUGGGGCACUUUGCCGGCUCAGGCCAGCAUCAGCUCGCUGUCGGGGACAAAAGCUUCGGGAACGUAGCUCUCUUCGGGGAGUGUUAUAGCCCGUUGCACAAUACCCUUCGGCGGGCUGAGGUACGCGCUCCGCAAGGUG